Molecule: ribosomal RNA, 427 nt
Filed under: uncultured bacterium
Lineage: Bacteria
Description: partial 16S ribosomal RNA
Rfam family: Bacterial small subunit ribosomal RNA
Source: RNAcentral
GUGGGGAAUAUUGGGCAAUGGGGGCAACCCUGACCCAGCGACGCCGCGUGAGGGAAGAAGGCCUUAGGGUCGUAAACCUCUGUUGUGUGGGAAGAAGGAAGUGACGGUACCACACGAGGAAGUCCCGGCUAACUACGUGCCAGCAGCCGCGGUAAUACGUAGGGGACGAGCGUUGUCCGGAAUUACUGGGCGUAAAGGGCGCGUAUGCGGUCAUUUAAGUCAGCUGUGAAAUGGUCCGGCUCAACCGGAUCAUGCGGUUGAAACUGGAUGUCUGGAGUGCUGGAGAGGCAAGUGGAAUUCCCAGUGUAGCGGUGAAAUGCGUAGAUAUUGGGAAGAACACCGGUGGCGAAGGCGACUUGCUGGCCAGCAACUGACGCUGAGGCGCGAAAACCAGGGGAGCAAACGGGAUUAGAAACCCGUGUAGUCC